RNAcentral lists this ribosomal RNA (1983 nucleotides) under Syllis vittata. RNAcentral's name for it is "SSU rRNA". It matches the Rfam family "Eukaryotic small subunit ribosomal RNA". Lineage: Eukaryota; Metazoa; Annelida; Polychaeta; Phyllodocida; Syllidae. The record is from RNAcentral.
UGCCAGUAGUCAUAUGCUUGUCUCAAAGAUUAAGCCAUGCAUGUGCAAGUACGAGCGCGUACACAGUGAAACUGCGAAUGGCUCAUUAAAUCAGUCGUGGUUCCUUAGAUCGUUGCAGUAGUACAUGGAUAACUGUGGCAAUUCUAGAGCUAAUACAUGCAGACAAGCCCCGAUCCCUUCGCCGGGAGAAGGGCGCAGUUAUUAGACCAAAAGACCUUCGUGCUUGGCGGGCACUCCGGUGUUGCGCGGGCACUAGUACCUUGAGUGGUGACUCUGGAUAACCUUGGGCGGAUCGCACGGCUUCGGGCUGGCGACGUAUCUUUCAAAUGUCUGACCCAUCAAAUGUCGAAGGGAGGUGCCAUGCCUCCCUUGUUCGCAACGGGUGACGGGGAAUCAGGGUUCGAUUCCGGAGAGGGAGCAUGAGAAACGGCUACCACAUCCAAGGAAGGCAGCAGGCGCGCAAAUUACCCACUCCUGACACGGGGAGGUAGUGACGAAAAAUAACGGUGCGGGACUCCAUCGAGGCUCCACGCUUGAAUGAGUACACUUUAAAACCUUAGACGAGGAACAAUUGGAGGGCAAGUCUGGUGCCAGCAGCCGCGGUAAUUCCAGCUCCAAUAGCGUAUAUUAAAGUUGUUGCAGUUAAAAAGCUCGUAGUUGGAUCUCGGCGGUGCCGGCGGCGGGGCCGCGGAGCCUUAGCACGUGGUACCCCGCGUCGGCGCCCCUUUGGGCGGGGGGGCCCCGACCUAGGGGCCCUGUCCGAUCCCCCGUGACGAUCCCCCUUCCCAUUCCCACACCCGUGGGGUGGGGGGGGGACCGGGGGUGUCUAUCGGCAGUUGCUGGUGCCCUUAACUGGGCUGCCAGUGGCACCCGUCCGUUUUACUUUGAAAAAAUUAGAGUGUUCAAGGCAGGCCAAAGCGCCCAGAUAAUGUUGCAUGGAAUAAUGGAAGAGGGCCUCGGUCCUAUUCUGCUGGUUCUUCGGGACGGCGAGGUAAUGAUCAAGGGGGACAGACGGGGGCACUCGUACUGCGGCGUGAGAGGUGAAAUUCUUGGACCGGCGCAUGACAAACUAGUGCGAAAGCAUUUGCCAAGAAUGUUUUCAUUAAUCAAGAACGAAAGUCAGAGGAUCGAAGACGAUCAGAUACCGUCCUAGUUCUGACCAUAAACGAUGCCAACUGGUGAUCCGCCAGUACAGUCGAGAAACUCUAUGUAAAGGACCUGGCGGGCAGCCCCCGGGAAACCUCAAGUCUUUGGGUUCCGGGGGAAGUAUGGUUGCAAAGCUGAAACUUAAAGGAAUUGACGGAAGGGCACCACCAGGAGUGGAGCCUGCGGCUCAAUUUGACUCAACACGGGGAAACUCACCCGGCCCGGACACCGUAAGGAUUGACAGAUUGAGAGCCCUUUCUUGAUUCGGUGGGUGGUGGUGCAUGGCCGUUCUUAGUUGGUGGAGCGAUCUGUCUGGUUAAUUCCGAUAACGAACGAGACUCCGGCCUGCUAACAUAGCGCUCCCAGACCGCCAUUGAGUAGGGAGUUCGCGGCAAUCAAUGUGACCGGCCCUCCGGGGCCGUAUUUGAGAGCUUCUUAGAGGGACUAACGGCGUUUUGUAGCCGUACGAAACGGGGCAAUAACAGGUCUGUGAUGCCCUUAGAUGUCCGGGGCCGCACGCGCGCUACACUAAUAGAGGCAGAGGGUCCGACCUGGGCUGAAAGGACCAACCAGGCACCCCGUACCAAUCUCUAUCGUGCUAGGGACUGGGGUUUGAAACUAUUCCCCACCAACGAGGAAUUCCCAGUAAGCGCGAGUCACCAGCUCGUGUUGAUUACGUCCCUGCCCUUUGUACACACCGCCCGUCGCUACUACCGAUCGGAUGGUUUAGUGAGCCCGUUGGACGGCUGCAGGGCCCGCCUUGUGCGGGACCUCUCCGGAAGACGGUCGAACUUGAUCAUUUAGAGGAAGUAAAAGUCGUAACAAGGUUUCCGAAGG